This 464-nucleotide ribosomal RNA is filed under the name uncultured bacterium. Its description in RNAcentral is "partial 16S ribosomal RNA". It matches the Rfam family "Bacterial small subunit ribosomal RNA", at positions 29 to 507 of the family's 1533-position model. The record is from RNAcentral.
ACGAACGCUGGCGGCGUGCUUAACACAUGCAAGUCGAACGGAAAGGCCCUGCUUGCAGGGUACUCGAGUGGCGAACGGGUGAGUAACACGUGGGUGAUCUGCCCUGCACUUCGGGAUAAGCCUGGGAAACUGGGUCUAAUACCGGAUAGGAGCCAUUUUUAGUGUGAUGGUUGGAAAGUUUUUUCGGUGUAGGAUGAGCUCGCGGCCUGUCAGCUUGUUGGUGGGGUAAUGGCCUACCAAGGCGGCGACGGGUAGCCGGCCUGAGAGGGUGGACGGCCACAUUGGGACUGAGAUACGGCCCAGACUCCUACGGGAGGCAGCAGUGGGGAAUAUUGCACAAUGGGCGCAAGCCUGAUGCAGCGACGCCGCGUGGGGGAUGACGGCCUUCGGGUUGUAAACUCCUUUCGCUAGGGACGAAGCUUUUUGUGACGGUACCUAGAUAAGAAGCACCGGCUAACUACGUG